AGAUGAGAAUGUGCCUUCGGGAACCGUGAGACAGGUGCUGCAUGGCUGUCGUCAGCUCGUGUUGUGAAAUGUUGGGUUAAGUCCCGCAACGAGCGCAACCCUUAUCCUUUGUUGCCAGCGAUUAGGUCGGGAACUCAAAGGAGACUGCCAGUGAUAAACUGGAGGAAGGUGGGGAUGACGUCAAGUCAUCAUGGCCCUUACGACCAGGGCUACACACGUGCUACAAUGGCGCAUACAAAGAGAAGCGACCUCGCGAGAGCAAGCGGACCUCAUAAAGUGCGUCGUAGUCCGGAUUGGAGUCUGCAACUCGACUCCAUGAAGUCGGAAUCGCUAGUAAUCGUGGAUCAGAAUGCCACGGUGAAUACGUUCCCGGGCCUUGUACACACCGCCCGUCACACCAUGGGAGUGGGUUGCAAAAGAAGUAGGUAGCUUAACCUUCGGGAGGGCGCUUACCACUUUGUGAUUCAUGACUGGGGUGAAGUCGUAACAAGGUAACCGUAGGGGAACCUGCGGUUGGA
Molecule: ribosomal RNA, 518 nt
Filed under: Salmonella enterica
Lineage: Bacteria; Pseudomonadati; Pseudomonadota; Gammaproteobacteria; Enterobacterales; Enterobacteriaceae
Description: bacterial SSU rRNA
Rfam family: Bacterial small subunit ribosomal RNA
Source: RNAcentral